RNAcentral lists this ribosomal RNA (250 nucleotides) under uncultured bacterium. Its description in RNAcentral is "partial 16S ribosomal RNA". It matches the Rfam family "Bacterial small subunit ribosomal RNA", at positions 29 to 267 of the family's 1533-position model. The record is from RNAcentral.
AGUUAACGCUGGCAGCGUGCGAUAACACAUGCAAGUCGAACGAGACUAUCUGCGAUUACAUCAAGGGUAGUCUAGUGGCAGACGAGUGAGUAACACGUAAGGAAUCUACCCUCAAGAUGGGGGAUAACGCGUCGAAAGACGCGCUAAUACCCAGUACAAUCUUCCGUCGGUCAUCGGCGGGGGAUGAAAGGCGUAAGCCGCUUGUGGAUGACCUUGCGACCUANCGGCUAGUUGGUGAGGUAACGGUCCC